This 574-nucleotide ribosomal RNA is filed under the name uncultured bacterium. RNAcentral's name for it is "partial 16S ribosomal RNA". It matches the Rfam family "Bacterial small subunit ribosomal RNA", at positions 355 to 923 of the family's 1533-position model. The record is from RNAcentral.
UGGGGAAUUUUGGACAAUGGGCGAAAGCCUGAUCCAGCAAUGCCGCGUGUGUGAAGAAGGCCUUCGGGUUGUAAAGCACUUUUGUCCGGAAAGAAAUCCUUGGCUCUAAUACAGUCGGGGGAUGACGGUACCGGAAGAAUAAGCACCGGCUAACUACGUGCCAGCAGCCGCGGUAAUACGUAGGGUGCAAGCGUUAAUCGGAAUUACUGGGCGUAAAGCGUGCGCAGGCGGUUUGCUAAGACCGAUGUGAAAUCCCCGGGCUCAACCUGGGAACUGCAUUGGUGACUGGCAGGCUAGAGUAUGGCAGAGGGGGGUAGAAUUCCACGUGUAGCAGUGAAAUGCGUAGAGAUGUGGAGGAAUACCGAUGGCGAAGGCAGCCCCCUGGGCCAAUACUGACGCUCAUGCACGAAAGCGUGGGGAGCAAACAGGAUUAGAUACCCUGGUAGUCCACGCCCUAAACGAUGUCAACUAGUUGUUGGGGAUUCAUUCCUUAGUAACGUAGCUAACGCGUGAAGUUGACCGCCUGGGGAGUACGGUCGCAAGAUUAAAACUUAAAGGAAUUGACGGGGUCAUA